Molecule: non-coding RNA, 74 nt
Filed under: unclassified sequences
Description: skipping-rope RNA
Rfam family: skipping-rope RNA
About the family: Firmicutes, Fusobacteria, AlphaProteobacteria, Spirochaetes. Downstream gene
Source: Rfam by way of RNAcentral
UGAAAGCAGAGGACGGAACGGGCAGCCGUCGCCCAUUGUUAGGAGAUGUGGGAAUUGUCACCCCACCUAUUUCA